UUGGUUAAUAUUCCAAUACCAACAUUAGUGUGCGAUGGAAGGACGCUUAGGGCUAAGGGGGCUAGCGGAUGGAAGUGCUAGUCUAAGGUCGUAGGAGGUUGUACAGGCAAAUCCGUAUAACAAUACUCCGAGAACUGAAAGGCUUUUUGAAGUCUUCGGAUGGAUAGAAGAACCCCUGAUGCCGUCGAGCCAAGAAAAGUUUCUAAGUUUAGCUAAUGUUGCCCGUACCGUAAACCGACACAGGUGGGUGGGAUGAGUAUUCUAAGGCGCGUGGAAGAACUCUCUUUAAGGAACUCUGCAAAAUAGCACCGUAUCUUCGGUAUAAGGUGUGGUUAGCUUUGUAUUAGGAUUUACUCCGAAAGCAAGGAAACUUACAACAAAGAGUCCCUCCCGACUGUUUACCAAAAACACAGCACUCUGCUAACUCGUAAGAGGAUGUAUAGGGUGUGACGCCUGCCCGGUGCUCGAAGGUUAAUUGAUGGGGUUAGCAUUAGCGAAGCUCUUGAUCGAAGCCCGAGUAAACGGCGGCCGUAACUAUAACGGUCCUAAGGUAGCGAAAUUCCUUGUCGGUUAAAUACCGACCUGCAUGAAUGGCGUAACGAGAUGGGAGCUGUCUCAAAGAGGGAUCCAGUGAAAUUGUAGUGGAGGUGAAAAUUCCUCCUACCCGCGGCAAGACGGAAAGACCCCGUGGACCUUUACUACAGCUUGACACUGCUACUUGGAUAAGAAUGUGCAGGAUAGGUGGGAGGCUUUGAGUAUAUGACGCCAGUUGUAUAUGAGCCAUUGUUGAGAUACCACUCUUUCUUAUUUGGGUAGCUAACCAGCUUGAGUUAUCCUCAAGUGGGACAAUGUCUGGUGGGUAGUUUGACUGGGGCGGUCGCCUCCCAAAUAAUAACGGAGGCUUACAAAGGUUGGCUCAGAACGGUUGGAAAUCGUUCGUAGAGUAUAAAGGUAUAAGCCAGCUUAACUGCAAGACAUACAAGUCAAGCAGAGACGAAAGUCGGUCUUAGUGAUCCGGUGGUUCUGUGUGGAAGGGCCAUCGCUCAAAGGAUAAAAGGUACCCCGGGGAUAACAGGCUGAUCUCCCCCAAGAGCUCACAUCGACGGGGAGGUUUGGCACCUCGAUGUCGGCUCAUCGCAUCCUGGGGCUGGAGCAGGUCCCAAGGGUAUGGCUGUUCGCCAUUUAAAGCGGUACGCGAGCUGGGUUCAGAACGUCGUGAGACAGUUCGGUCCCUAUCUGCCGUGGGCGUAAGAAGAUUGAAGAGAUUUGACCCUAGUACGAGAGGACCGGGUUGAACAAACCACUGGUGUAGCUGUUGUUCUGCCAAGAGCAUCGCAGCGUAGCUAAGUUUGGAAAGGAUAAACGCUGAAAGCAUCUAAGCGUGAAGCCAACUCUAAGAUGAAUCUUCUCUAAGCUCUCUAGAAGACUACUAGUUUGAUAGGCUGGGUGUGUAAUGGAUGAAAGUCCUUUAGCUGACCAGUACUAAUAGAGCGUUUGGCUUAUCUUUAAUAAAGCAU
Molecule: ribosomal RNA, 1517 nt
Filed under: Campylobacter jejuni
Lineage: Bacteria; Pseudomonadati; Campylobacterota; Epsilonproteobacteria; Campylobacterales; Campylobacteraceae
Description: partial 23S ribosomal RNA
Rfam family: Bacterial large subunit ribosomal RNA
Source: RNAcentral